Molecule: transfer RNA, 66 nt
Filed under: Glycera fallax
Lineage: Eukaryota; Metazoa; Annelida; Polychaeta; Phyllodocida; Glyceridae
Description: tRNA-His
Source: RNAcentral
GUAAAAAUAAUUUAAAACAAAAUAUUGAAUUGUGAUUUCAAAAAUGUACUUAAUAUACUUUUUACC